Molecule: long non-coding RNA, 22443 nt
Filed under: Triticum aestivum (bread wheat)
Lineage: Eukaryota; Viridiplantae; Streptophyta; Magnoliopsida; Poales; Poaceae
Description: long non-coding RNA (TAES_LNC017247)
Source: RNAcentral
AGCCUGUACAUGCGCAGAGGCUUCUCAUUCUUUUGUUCAUCUUUCUGUUGUCCGUCGAUCGAUAAGCUAGUGGAUUCUUGAGAGAUUGGUUGUGUGAGAUUCGAUUUGAAUUCAUUAAUUUGUUGCUCCUGUACUCUGGUGGAUUCGCACGCACGCGUGCAUAUUUUUGUUCCAAUGCUCCUCAGGUCUGUUGCCACUAAUUAUGCGUACUAGUCAUCAGCCCGUGUGGGCUAGCAAUUCAUGCAUGCAUAGUACUCUCUUUAAUCCAAAAUAAAUGUCGUGGUUUUAGUUCAAAAAUGAACUGUCGUGGCACGACACUUAUCUUAGAUCGGAGAGAGUACUAUAUAUAUGUAAUUUCAUAAAAGAAUGAAAAUAUAGGUAGAAACCUUGAAGAAUAUUUUUUAAGUGGUUUACAUUAGAAUAUGUAGUACUUAGUUAUUCUGGUUAUCCAUGGGCCAAAAAAAGGGAACUCCAUUCUUUCUAUUGGGUUCUAAUUAGGGGGUGUUAAGUGAAUUGGAAGAAUGACGAUGUAGGACAUAUGAACGAUAGUUGGCUCUUGACAACUCUAGAAUACGAAAAAUAUGCCCCGUAAAACAUUCAUUUUCGAAUGAGUCAAUGUAGAAAAAGUUUUUCUUUUGGAACAAAAUUAGCACCUUAUGUUGAAGAGCCAUGCUGGACAUGAACGGUAGAAAUGCAAACUUUAAAAGUGGUUUUCAAUUUCUGUGUAAAUAAAUGAGUUUUUUUUAGAGAAUGUAAAUAGAUGAGUUAGUGCAGUUAAAACUUUUCAAACUUUGACAGUACUAGUUGAUAAAAAAAUCUUUAUAUUGGCAAGAUGAUAGUAGUACUAAUAAAUUGCAUUAACAUGCGCCUUCGCUAAUUCUGUCGACGAACCAUGCUGGACACUAAUGGUAAAUAUUAAAAACUCAUGUGUCAAUGUGAAUUGAAAAUGGUGAUGUUGAAUUUGCACGCUUGGUACAAUCAAAUACUAUAUACAUCUACCAUUCAUAAAUAUUUUUAUCAAAUACUAUAUACAUCUACCACUCAUAAAUAAAUGACUUCCUAAAAUGUGCAUCUGAACCUUUUCAAACUUCAUUAGUGAUUGAUAAAAAUAUGUUUAUGUUGAUAAGAUGAAAAAUCGUACCAUUAGAUUUGCCAAAAUAUUUUUAAUAAUUUUGCACUAACAUGCGCGUGCAAAACAAAUGAUCAGAGGCGCAUACCAGACAAUGUGGUCAACAUGAAAAUAUUAUCUAUCUAUCAGGAUAAACACCAUUUCAGUAAAAAAAUAAAGAAGAAAACUAAAAACAAAAUGUGAAAAAACGAGCGCUAGGUCUGCGGACUGGACGCACUGGCCGGGCCAUUGUCGCCCGUUUCAGGCGAGACCUUGUUCUGUCUUACACUAGUCGCCCCUGGGUGUCAUGUGCCAAGGUGAGCGAAAGAGUAGAUGGGCCUGCCCAUUUUAACUAGCGCAGGUGACUACAGUACCCAUGCCCAAAGUCCCCUACGGCGGCGGCCUAGGGUUUUCCAGUCCUCCGGCGAUCUUCGCCGUGAGUUCGUUGUUGCUACCUGGCUUCGGGCCACGUUCUCUCCUUGUCCCUCUCCUCUACCCGAGCUGUUCCAGGGAGUAGUCAGUAUGCUCGCCCCCGCCGCCACUAGAGGGAGUUUUGAUCUAGGGUUUCCCGUGGGGAACCUUUGACGCAGUGAUUCUUGAUGUUAUGGCGGGCAGGGAGACGACAGCACCAACCAUGGAGGGGGAGUAGACGGCACUGGCGACAUGCCGGAUCGCCUCACACUCCAGGAUGAUGAACUAGAUGAUCUUGUAUGGGAAGAUGAGAAUGACGCGGCGGAAGUCAGGCCCAAGUGGUUGGCGCUAUGCCGCCUCCUGACAUCAAAAUCCUUUAGCCAGAGCGCUUUGAUCGGGGAUAUGAAGGCUGCUUGAAAUCCGGCUCAGCCGGUGGUAUGGUGGAGGAUCAAACCAAAUUUGUUUUCUAUCCAGUUCAAUUGCUUGGUGACGGGAACAAGGGUAUGCACAAAGGACCUUGGGAUUUCAAGGGCUAUGCCCUAAUUCUCGCUGAAUAUGAUGGCUUCUCAAAGCCAGAAAAAGUAAAGUUGAACAUGUUGGAAACUUGGGCUCAGAUCCACAAGCCGCCAGACCUCGUUCUCAAAAGCAAGAGCUUCCUGGAAAAUUUAGCGCAGCGUAUAGGCGAGGUGCAAGAAGUUCAAGUUACACUUCCUAAUGGAUCUGUGGGGGAGUUCAUCAGAGUACGUGUGAAGUUGGAUGUCGGGAAAAAACUUACAAGAGUUGUACAAUUCACAAAGGCUGGCGAAACAGAGAAAUAUAGUGUGAAAUUCGAGAAGCUACCCAUCUUUUGCUAUGAAUGUGGUAUGAUGGGGCACUGGUAUGAGGAAUGUGGAACGGGGGAACACGAUGCAACAAAGUUUGAAUGGGCCCUUUUCAUCUUGGCUUCAAGGAGCAUUAGCCCUGGAGGUGGCCGAAGUCGGUCCAGCGGAGCAGGCCGAGGGGAUCCAGACAGGAACGAUCUAGGAGGAGGAAGAGGCCGGGGUCACAGAAGAAGGGGUAGCCCCUAUGAUUCGGGCAUGCACCCGCAUACAAGUGGGGCGGGAUUUGAUGAUGACAAUGACCUCCCAGCUGUUGGGGUGGUAGCUCAAAAGCAUACUCCAGUUUUGUCAGAGGGGGGGAAAGAACAUGGAAUAUGAUGGGUCAAAGAGCUGGAGACACAAUGCUCGCACUGAAACAACUUUGGAGAAGCAAGCAGAGGAUGCUACCAAUGAUCAUCAAGAAGAUUUAUUGGUUCUGGGUAAACGUACAACGGAUGACUCUAGUACAUGGCAGCCACACAAGUUGGAUCCUGUUGAUCCAAAGACAACAAUUGUUCCGUUAGGCAAUACCACGGCGAUUGAUGGCCAGUUUGAGAACACCAUUGGGGGUUUCUUCGGGUGGUGGAGGUACACCACAGAAAAAUGCCAACAAGAAGAAGCUGAAGGGAUCUGAUGGCAUAGCAGUAGAAGUGCAUACUUCAAAUGAGAAGAUGGCCUCCAUGGGUGAGGACUGCAAGGGACAAUGAGUAUCGUGUGUUGGAAUUGUCGUGGGGCGGGCAACCCUGCGACAAUUCGCGAGCUUUGUGUUCUGAUGAAGCGUUUUGCCCCCACCAUCCAAUGUAUUCUCGAAACUCAGGUUGAGGGGUCUAGGGUGGAGUUUUUACCAAAUUCCUUAGGUUUCAAUAAAAGUUUUGUUGUUAGUAGUUCUGGUAGAAGUGGUGGUUUGUGUGUUUUUUGGAAUGAUACAAUAAAGUUGGAGGUUGUUGGCUACUCUAAAUACCACACUGACGCUGAACUGGAGGAGGUUGGUAACACUCCAUUUAGGGUGGCAUUUGUGUAUGGUGAAGCCCAAGUCUAGAAUAGAUUCAAAACGUGGGACACCUUGAGGGGAAUAGCUUCGACUAGUGCAUUACCAUGGAUGGCAAUCGGAGAUUUUAACGAGGUACUUCACCUCCACGAGCAUGAUGGAGGUGGAAACCAGAGCCAGGCUCAAAUGGAUGGUUUUCGAGAUGCUUUUGAUAUUGUUGGACUGUCAGAUAUUGGAUUUAGAGGGAAUUCGUGGACUUUUGAGAAGAGAGUUGUUGGCGGUUCUUACACACGAGUACGAUUGGAUCGAUGUGUGGCGACAACAUCUUGGUCGUUGAUGUUCCCUCAAGCGGAGCUGGUGCACGAAACUGCUGCGUGUUCGGACCACGUCCCACUGCUCUUGAACCUGAGACUGCAUGCACCCAAGGCAGGACCGAAAGCAUUUAAAUAUGAAUGAGCAUGGGAGUCGCAUGAAGGAUUGCCUGCGGUGGUGGGAACUACUUGGGGACAGGACUGCGACGGGACUGUCGAGGGAGUGAAACAGCGCCAGGAGGCCCUAUCAUCCGAUCUGUCUCAUUGGGACAAGGAAGUCUUUGGGAAUGUAAAAAGGGAAAUCGGUAAACUGCAAAAAGAUCUGGCCCUGUUACAUGCAAUACCGAGACGAUUGGGACCCUCACAUGCAGAGGUGGAGAUAUGUGACAGGCUGGUAGAGUUGUUUCACCGAGAGGAACUUUUAUGGCGCCAGCGUGCACGCAUAGAAUGGCUAGCAAGCGGCGACAAGAAUACAUACUUUUUCCACAUGCGGGCAAGCCGGCGACGCCGUAAGAACCAGAUAAAAGCCCUCCAGCUCCCUGAUGGGAGGUUAACAGAUAAUAUUCAGGAGAUGGAGGAAUUUGCCACAAACUUUUACAAGGAAUUGUAUACCUUAGAACAAGUGCUAGACAUGGACCGGGUGUUGGACACAGUCCCAAUCAAGGUGACAAACAAGAUGAAUGAAUUGCUCAAUGCACCAUAUACAGAGAAGAAGGUAAAGACAACUUUAUUUCAUAUGUUUCCUACCAAGGCGCCGGGGCCAGAUGUGUACCCUGCCCAUUUUUCCAAAGACACUGGGAGGUGUGUGGCGCAGAUGUUACUAAGGCAAUCUUGAGGAUAGUUAAGGGGGAGGAAACAGCAGAUAGCAUUAAUGAAACAAUCUUGGUACUGAUCCCAAAGGUAAAUAAUCCAACAUUAUUGGCACAAUUCAAACCUAUCUCGUUAUGAAACGUCUUGUACAAGAUUGCUUCCAAAGUUAUCUCCAACAGGCUGAAGUUGGUGUUACCUGACAUAAUAUCGGAGGAACAGUCUACUUUCGUCCUAGGUAGACUCAUCUCUGAUAACAUUAUAACUGCUUAUGAAUGCCUGCAUUUCAUGAAGAGAAACACUGCUGUGAGAUAUAGAAGUGGUGCUCUCAAGCUAGAUAUGAUGAAAGCAUAUGACAGGGUGGAGUGGGAGUAUUUACAGGCAAUUAUGUUGAAACUGGGCUUCUCCGAACAAUGGGUCCAGAUUGUUAUGGGCAUGGUGAAGUCAGUAAAAAAAUUGUACUAUUUAAUGGUAAGAAGCUACAGGAGUUUCAACCUACGCGUGGUAUACGACAGGGUGAUCAAAUUUCCCCGUACCUUUUCUUGAUAGCAGCAGAGGGCCUUUCGUGCCUCCUAAAAUCUGUUGACGAGUCAUCUAACAUGAGUGGUCUUAAAGAGGCUCCCUCGGCACCACCAGUAAACCACUUAUUAUUUGUAGAUGACAGCCUGUUGUUCUUCAGGGCGAGUGCUGAUGGGGCACACGAGAUUAACCAGUUGUUGACCACAUAUUGUCAAGCGUUGGGGCAGCGAAUAAAUCAUGAGAAAUCUUUAAUUUUUUCAGCAAAGGAUGCCCGGAGAGCACUAAGGAGGAAGUCAAGUUAUUGCUGAAUGUGCCAAAUGAAACAGUUAAUGCAAAAUACUUAGGCAUGCCUACUGAAGUGGGGGCCUCCAAAAUGGAGCUUUCAAAUACUUGAAGGAUUAUUUGUGGAGUAAGGUCCAAGGGUGGAUUGAACAAACUAUAUCAAGUGCUGGAAAAGAAGUUUUGAUAAAGGAUAUAGCCCAAGCAGUCCUAGUAUAUUCUAUGUCUUGUUUCAAAUUGCCACCGGGUUUGUGUAAGCACUUAAAUAUGUUGAUAAGGAAAUUCUGGUGGGGGAGCAAGGAUGGAAAGAGAAAGACUAGUUGGGUCUCUUGGGAGACCAUGACUAAGCCUAAGGGAAUGGGCGGUCUCGGUUUUAAGGACUUUGAACUAUUCAAUCUUGCUUUGCUAGCGAAACAAGCAUGGCACAUCUUAUAGGCGCCGGAAUCUUGAGUGCAAGAAUUUUGAAGAGCAUUUACUUUCCAAUGGGUGUAUAUUAUCAACAGAACUUGGGAGUCACCCCAGCCAAAUUUGGCGCUCUAUUAUCGAGGGGCGGGACAUACUUAAACUAGGCCUGAUCAGACGUAUAGGAAAUGGUGAGACAACCAAAAUCUGGGUGGACAACUAGAUCCCCAGGGACGUGAUGAUGAGGCCGUAUGGGAGAAGAUCUGCCAAUCCCCCCGAACUUGUUUCAUCCCUGAUCGAUCACACAACAACAACAUGGAAUCGUGUGAGGCUGGAGGAAGUAUGCCUCCCGAUCGAUAUCCAGGCUAUUGUCCAAAUUCCAAUCUAUACAUCUAAUAUCCCGGAUAGCUGGGCUUGGAAUUUUGAAAGAAGUGGAAGUUUUAUAGUCAAGUUGGCCUACAGAAUGAUAGUAAACACAAAAUAUAGGAGAGGCAUAUGGAUGGAUGGAAGAGCGGGCUCCUCAAGCUCGGACAGAGACGAGCAAUCUUGGAAACUCUUGUGAGGUACUCAAGUACCAGAGAAGAUACAUAUGAUUUUGUGGAGAUUAGCAUGCCAUUCUAUCCCAACGGAAGAUGUGAGGGCAAGAGAAACAUGGCAACAGCGAGCGCUUGCAGCUUGUGUGGUGUGUAGGACUCAUGGCGACACUCGUUGCUCGAGUGCUCGAUGGCCAGAUGCGUAUGGGCAUUGGUUGAUGGGGAACUGGCGGAACACCUGUGCGAGACGACGGAGCCUAGCGCUAAGCAGUGGUUAUUCACAAUGAUAGACACGUUACCGCAUGCAGCCUUCGUGAAGCUAUCAGUAACCUUUUGGACAAUUUGAUGGGCGAGGAGGAAAGCAAUACACGAGGAAAUAUUCCAGAGUCCUACAACAACUAACAGUUUAUAUGCAGCUUUAUCAGAGAACUGGAUAUUGUAUCAGCCAAAAAGGUCAAUUUGCAGGGAGCUAACAUGGCUGGUGCAUAGCGGCCCAAGGCGCCUCCACCGGGCUUCAUGAAAAUACACGUUGAUGCAAGCAUUGCAAGAAAUCAGAACAGGGGAGCGGCCUCGGCUGUAUGUAGAGAUGCGAAUGGUAGUUAUGUUGGAAGCUCCUCUUUGGUUAUUGAGGGAGUGAGCAAUGCUGCAACUAUGGAAGCUAUUGCCUGCAGGGAGGCUCUCUCCUUAGCAGAUGACCCAAUGUUACAGAACUUCAUGGUAGCGUCUGACUUGAAGCAGAUUGUGAGUGAGAUCUAUAGCGGCUCCAAUGAUGUGUACGGGGCCAUCUUAUCAGAGAUAAAGAAUAGGGAUCUUUUGUUUAAUUGCAAUUUUACUUUCGAAGGCCGAGCGGUCAACCGCGACGCCCAUAGGUUAGCCAAAUUUUCCAAUUCUCUAGAUCAGGGGAGACAUGUUUGGUUGAUGCAACCCAAUGACCUGAUUAUAAUGCCACUUCAUGUGGAGUUUGAUCAAUAAAACUUGGUGAUACCCCUAAAAAAAAGGCUACAGUACCCGGUUUUGAAAACCUUCAAGAAAGUUCCAAAACCGGUUUUCUUUCUUUCAGGUUCUGGGUUUCCCUUUCAUUUUUCCUUUCCCCUUCUUUUUUUCAUUUUUUCUCUAUUUUAUUUUAUUUUUCAAAAUUUAUUUCUCUUUUCAAAAUUUGUUCACAUAUUUAAAAAAAAUCAUGUUUUCCAAACAUGGUCAGAAAUUUCGAAAAUUGUUUGUGUUUUAGAAAAAUAUUUAAUAUUUUCAAGAAAUGUUUUUUUUCUGAAAUGACCAAAAACUGACAAUCUACUGUGCUCUACAUGGCUGGAAGACCAUGCCGACCAUGUGUACCCAACGUGUAACAAUGUCAUGCGGAAGAUCAAAUCUGUAGGAGUCACGUGUAGUUACUCGCACUUCCAUUAGCAUUUGGGAUUUCUAACCAACCAAGAGUAUUCUAGUGUGGAACCUUUAGUUUUCUCUAGUUUUGUAAUCUUUUGUUCUCCACGGGGCUAGACAAAAAUCACUGCCUUUGACCCAUUUGAGAAAGUUCAACAAAAAAGGCUCAUGUAGAAAAUUUUAGCACGAUCUAACCCUCUUUAGCAACGCCCCAACACACUGAUUUUGCUAUUGUGCAAUGAAACGUCAAACACUAUGGCGUUGUCACCUUGAGGCAUUAACAACUACUCCCUCCGUAAACUAAUAUAAGAGCAUUUAGAUCACUAUUUUAAUUAUCUAAACGCUCUUAUAUUAGUUUACAGAGGGAGUAGCAUGCAGUGAGAGAGAACGCUUGGCGUUGCGCAUGUGAGCAACACCAAUGACAUUAGUAUUGCAUAGUGCAUCAACAACGCCAUCAACAUUAGCGUUGUAAAAAUAAGGUCAAAAUCGUGUUAAAGUUUUCUGCAAACAGUCACUUUGUGCUGAACUUUCUCAAAAAGGUUAAAUAUGUGAUUUCAGCCACGGGGCAAAAGGCUAACUGGUCUCAAAGUCAUAACUAAAGAAUGGUGCCAACAAGUUGAGGCUUGGGGACUUUGCUGCAAUCAAAAGGAAAAUUGAUUACGUGUAGAAAAGGAAAAUCGACUGAAGUGGCUAUCAUAAUCUUUUUUACAUGAGAUUUGUAGUUGUGAUGUUCUUGAGGUUAGUUACGUUAAUUGCUGGCUUUUCUUUGUCAUUGUCCGGUCAACACUCACGCGUAGCAGACACCAUAGACAAAGGAUGUUUCUUAUGCGUUCAGGUCACACAGAAUUUUAUCUUUGCAUUUUUACUUCUGUAAGUAUGUGUUGAAACAUAUAGUAUGUGUGGAACUCAGAAUCAUUUUGUGCACACCUACAACAUCUUGAAACUACUAUCUCCGUCUUGAUUUGCUAGUCCUCCUCGAGUUUUAGGUCAUAUUUUGAUUAUAAUUUGAACUAAUAAAAUAUAAAUUAUAUGUAGCAAAAAUAAUAAUAAUAAACCUAUAUUCAAAUAAGAUCUAAUGAUAUAACUUUUUAUGACAUGUUUUAAUAUUUUGAUAGUAAAAUAUGUGGUCAACUUUUAACCUUAAAUACAAUGGGACUAAUAAACCGAGACGAACCCAGACGAAGGCAGCACAGAUAUACUCCCUCCGUCCGUGAAUAGGUGUACUUCUAGCUUUUGUCCUAGGUCAAAGUUUUAGAACUUUGACCAACUUUAUAGAAAAAAGUACUAGCAUUUAUGACACUAAAUUAAUAUCACUAGAUCUAUUUUGAAAUGUACUUUCAUAAUAUAUUAAUUUGAUGUCAUAUAUGUUAUUACUCUUUUGUAUAUAGUUGUUCAAAAUUACAAAACUUUGACUUAAGACAAAAGCUAGAAUUACAAGGAGUACGCAGCAUAUUCUCAACAGAUGCGUUGACCGCUGAAAUCGUUGACUGACAGCAAGCUUGCCGAUACCCUGGCAACCCUGCUAUACCGAACUCUGCGACAGGCACGGGACAGCCAGUCACCCUGUUUGUCCAGUGGACUUCCAACUCCAGUCUGACUUCAUCUCCUUCCGAAAAUCAAACAAGCAGCAGAAAUGCAGGGGUAGAAGCUCACGCCAUGUCCAAAUCCAAAUCCAAAUAGCUUCGCCUCCCAUAGGUGGAGGCGGCUACUCCGAUAGAAGGAGAAGGAAGCAAAGGAGGGAGGCAGCAGAACUGCAGAAGCACCAUGGUUUCCCUCUGUAAGUACCACACCAUGGCCUCUCUCUCUCUCUCUCUCUCUCUCUCUCUCUCUCUCUCUCUCUCUCUCUCUCUCUCUCUCUCUCAUACUCCGUAGAAUAGUGCAUAGAUUUGAUGUAAGUUAGCGCCGAUGUAUGCUUUUAAUCUCGACUUGAUCUGAAUUUUAAUCUUUGACAUAAGCUAAGCUCGACUUGAUCUGAAUUUGAUGAUCUUACUAUUUUGAAUCUUGGAGUAGCGUAACUUCAUAUGACAAAGAUGGAUUCUGUAUCAAAUUAGUUCGUCAGACUCUUUAGUACUAAUACUACUUAGUUUCAAGAUCCUGUAAACUGAAUGCAUUCUCUGACAGGGCACGCCUCCGUCAUUGUCCUUGUGCUCAUAUUCCUCGGAGGAUCCGAUGCCAACCCAGCUGCGCGUCGACACGGUCAGCUGGAUGUAAACCACAAGAAGAAGCCACUACAGACAUCCAGACCUUACAACAUUGCCCACAGGGGUUCCAAUGGCGAAAUACCCGAAGAGACAGCUGUGGCAUAUUUGGUAACCAGCAAAUUACUCAUGCAAUUAUCUGUCCUUCCUUCUAUGCUGGAUCAGAUUUAGAUUGAUAUUUUCUAGUGUUACGUCAAAUUCAGCUGUAUUGAUUAUUUAUGCUUUUUUUUUACAUCAGAAUUGAUUAUUUACGCUAAUAAUCGACAAUAACCAAGAAGGUUAUAAUCUACUUGUUACUAUUUAUUUAUUAUAUUAAUAUUAUGUACUAUUUAUUUAUAUUAUAUCUCUACUUCUAAUGGAGCAGUUGGUAGUCUUCGCCGGUUAAAUUUCGUCCCACCUCCCCUGAUUUUUUUUGGUACUUCGUCCCACCUCCCGCUUUCCACCGUCUCCCCGCAACUUACCGCCCAACCGGUAAAAAAACAUCAAAAUACAACUACGCCCAUACUGAACCGCGCCGGUUCACAGAUAGAAAAAAGACCUAAAAUGAUCUAACACGGUUAACCUACGAAAUGACAGCUGAUCGAUCUGAAACAGGACCCCUAGGACCAGAAAAUCGUCAUGCCCUCGAUGCCAUUGCGAGUCGCGGUCAUUCGUCCACGCCCCUCAAACCCUUGACCGCCGUCACAAACCCUGAAACCCUUGUCCGCCGCCACAAGCGCUCAUACCGUAGGUCUCCUUCACAGGGUGAAGUUUUUUCCCGGCGCCGCCGCCGUCCGAGAGGUGGGACGAAAGAUCUUCCGGCGCCGAUCCGUCACUGUUCAGCGGAUCUGCGUGUGAUCCAGUCGCCGCCGUAGUGGCGAUUGCAAAAUCAGGUUGGGCGUUUAUGUAUUAUAACCUUUACAAAUACUACUCUUACAAAUCUUCGUCUCUGAUCGGUACCGUGGUCAUACUGCACAAAAUCUGACAUUGUGAUCUCGGAUCGGUACCGUGGUCAUACUGUGUAAGAUUUGAGAACCUGUAAUUAAAAAAUACAUAUUCCGUCACCAUUCUAUGCAGAAUUGUAGAAUUACAGCUAACUGGAUUAUAUGCCGAGGCCAUACCUCUUGCUCUCAUUUUAUCAGCCCGAAAAUCGUGCAGGUCGUGAAUCAUCUCAUUGCCGGUUUCAGUAUUGCAAGGAACUCAGUUUUCGUGCACAUAACUGACAGGAGUUUGGGGCUGGCGCCGGCCGUCGGGGACGGUGUCAUCAGCAGUAGCAUCUGGAGGUUAGGUGACAUGCAAUAGUUAAUGUUUCUAUGCCAACAGGAAAUAGGCAAUGUUUCUAUGCCUAGGUGAGCAUCAGAUGGUUGAAAAUGAUUGAGUCCAACUACAGUCUGGACCUAUAAAAGAAUAAUGCCAUCCUCCCAGAUGAACCACCGUUUUGAAUGGGAAAUAAAAUCAUUCAUGAAUGUUUGCCAAGGGCAUACCUGUUUUACUCUAUUUGACAGCCCCAAAUGAUUGCAGGUGGUGAAUCAUCUCAUUGCUGGUUUAAGUGUAGUCAUCAAGUGGCAACAGGCAUCUAUUUUACCAAUAAUUUUGCAAGUAUCUCAGUGACGGCCCUUGGGGACGGUGUCAUCAGCAGCAGCAUCUGGCAAGCGCAUCGAGUUUGCAGCUCACAACUUCAUAGGAUCUCCAUUUUCCAGCCCCAAAACAGCAUCACAUGCGAAAAGUGACACAAACAUAAAGUAGUUAUGACACUUGAAUCUAAUAGGUUCCAUGCAAUAUUAAACAGUCAAGGUUUAUAUGUCAUCAGGAAAUAGCCAAGGGUCUGAAUAUAGAAAAUAAUAAGGUAAAAAAACUUGAUCCUCCCAGAUGAACCACCUGGAGCAUUAUGUGAAAUAAAACCAUUCAUCAAUUUAUAUACGACGCCGUAACCAACCAUUUUUUCAUGUUGGUCAGAUAGAAUUUAUGUGGGAUUCAAUAUAUAGGCGCCGCGUCCCUUCCCUCAAGAUUGGCCUCAUGAACUUUCAGUAAGCGCUAAUUAUAAUAUGAGAUCAUCAUAUGCUUCUUUUUGUAAUUCUACUGUUGCAAUGUUACUCACAUUUGUAUUUGUUUGUAGACGGCAGAUAAUUUUCUUACGUGUACGUGAAGAGCACGUUGGGCCUAACUUCUGGCAUUUGCAAUGCACUGACAACCUGUUCGAGAAGUUUGCUGUAACUUACAUACAGGUAAAUCAGAGGCAGCGUUGCUUGCAAACUAUGAGGGAGAGCACAUUCUUCUUCUCUCCCAACAUUAAUGAUGAUCAUCAUUAUCUACAAGGUAGGGGUUGCGUUCUAUUUUAAAAUUGUUUUCAAUAUUUUUUUUCUGUAAUACUAUUUCACUACUAUAUAAGACUGAUUGUUAUCGUAGAUAUCCAUGAAGCCAGCCUGACGACACUUGAUGAAACACGUGCUUACGUCAAUCGUGUUGUUCAAGGUAGGAACAAUGGACGUCAGAACUAUCACAGUCGAAAUUAGAGCAUCCUUGAGGGUUUUGGACGACUGACUAUGUACUGAUGCAUAUUCAAAUGUCGCAAAUAAAUGGCUUCUACAGUUUUGUUAUGGAUUGAAUUGAGAAUUAUCAUUUUGGCAUUAUGAUUAAUGUAUUAUACAUAUAUAUACCUUCAUAAUACGCAGUGUUCAGUAUUUCGUCUUACGCCGUCGUCCUUUAUCCGUCUCUCCCCCACCAUUCCUUUUUUCACACAAGCCAGGAAAGGAAACAGCAGACGCACGCAAUAGUUUUUUUAUUGGAAUACCUGACUAAGUCCUCUUCCCCUCGUGCGAUCCCAACACAGGCAUGAUCCUGGGAUAACAACACGCGCACCCACGCCUCCGCCGACGCAUGUUUGGCCCCAUCUGCCCGAGUCCUCUGGUCCAUGUUCUCCCUUUCUUAUCCCUCCUCCAUUUAUGCCUUAUCGAUCCUAACAUGAUGGUUCGCGAACGGCGCGCAUAUAAGGAUUAUGUUGAAGUUGGAAUAUAUACCAAACAAUAGUUGCUUCAUUUUUACCUUUACGACUUUUACGUUUCUCAUGACUAUGAUCAUUAUAAACUCUUACUUGAUCUUCAAAGACUUGCGGGAAUAAAAGGCCAAUGUGCGGUGUUUCAUGCACUAUCAUAUUGUGACUAGACUCACUACAGCUGUAUUUUAUUGAUCAAUUAAACUAUAGACAUAAUUUGCGGGAAUAUUUCUUUGUAGAAGGCUUUCUAUGUGUAUCUGUAGAGCUUAACUAGAUGUGUCUUAGUUAUUCCACGUUCAUACGAGGCACUCAAACAUAAAACCAAAUGAAAACGCUACCCACACCAAUUACAUGUGAUUUAGAUGUGCAAUAUAUACUACUUAAAACACAUCUAGACGUGCAUCGGCAAAAACGAGGUUUUAUAACUCAAAAUUUUCUCUCCAUGGAGAUAUACCCGUGCGUUAAGAAUAUGGAUCAAUACAUGUAAAAGAAGUGGGCUGUAGUAUCAUAAUUCAAUUAAGGGUAAAGAUAUAGAUUAUUCCACAUGGUAUAGGUUAUAUUAUGUUAUAUGUACCCCGUUGCAACACACAGGCGCCUAUGGAUCAUAUCAUCAUGUCUACAGUUUUUGUUAUGGCAACUUGUAAUUAUGGAAGGAUAUGGACCACCUUCCGAGUACAUGACAACGAUUACUUAAAGUUUCCAAUACAAUGUAGUAUCCAAUCUAACGGUGUGGCCUACCAUACGUUCAAUGGGUUUCCCAUUUUAGCCAUUAAUUUUCCCUUAGUCGGAUUUGCUUAUAAGGAAAGUUAAAUCCUGCUUGUUCCGAUCUGUAAAGGGAGACGUAUAUAAUAGAAUUAUAAUCGGCGUUUAUUUAUUUGCCCAUUGUAGUAUGGAAUAAGAAUAAAUGCUUUUCCAUUUAGAUGCAAGGUUUUAUAAUGGAUACAUGCACGGAUGGAAUGAUAUCGGCACCUUCCAAUCCAAUGCUAAUGCCUCACCGACCUUUUAGAAGGACAAGUCCCCUCCGACUAUCAUAUAUAUGGCCCGACUGUGAGUCCACCAUUGUCUAAUGCCCCCUCGCUCGCUCAUCCUGGUGCUAAGAUGACUUUCUGCCCGCGGUAAUGGCUGCAAUGCCGAUUUUUGAUGGAGUGGAUGACGCAGUCGAGUACAUCUACAACUACGUCAUGGAUUCCUCAGACGAGGAGGAAUUAGAGUUUGUUCUGGCAGCGCUAAACUUCAUCUAUACUUUAAUUGCAAUUGUUAGCUGCAGAUCACUACCAUUAUAAUUUGUUGCAUGCAUUUACUGAAAGUUCAUGCUAUCCUUUCUAAAUACAUAAGGUUCUUAAGAUCUAACGUAGUGGUUGCAAAUAAAUGGCCAUGUUGUAAUAUUAUCCUUUUACAUUACCCCAUUAUAGGACCAUCCACCCCACGUUAUUUUAAAGUACAAUAUUUUUAUGAACGGUAGUACAUUGCAACGCGUACUGUUGCAUGAUACAUGUGCCAUCUACACAUUAGUUCAUAACUGUAAUACUAUAGCAAUACAUUGCAUCCGAACAUGUCAGGAUAUAUUUGGUUAUCUCAAUAAAUAGUACUCCUAUCCUGAAUUGACACUACGAUUCCAAUUAGAAUAUACAUACAUUUCAGACCUUACUAAAGUUUGGAAAAAAAUGUAUUAUUAUUUGCCCACACAUUGAAGUAUUACAUUAUUUUGAUACCCUUAUUUUUCUAACAGAUUUGCUAUCAUGCUGUCUUGUUUGCAGCACAAUAUGGAUAAGGAGCCCUCGUCCAUUCGUUAUCGAGUUAAGCCUACGGACUAUCCAAGACACCAUGCGAGGUGAUACAUGGGUCAAUCCGAACUGCUUCGAUCUUGCAGUGCGUAAGCUUACUAGCGACGCGAUACAGAGGAAUGCAGGAACAGACUUUGUUGGCUCCACGCAUACGUUUGAUUUGCGAUUCCAUCGCCUAGCACGGGUGCUGAUUCAGACUGGCUUAGGCCAAGCUGAACGCACCAACUUGUUGAUUAACAAUGUCAUUGUACGGCCUUUGCCGAAAUACGACAUGCUCAUGACCCCGUCCAUUGUAAGGAUUUACAUUCUUAACAAUUGGUUUGUAUACUAUCUGUUCACCAUUAACUUUGUAUACCUAUUGCAGUACCUAUUGCCAUUGUAUUUGGUGGAUUCCUCCUACGGCCUCCUUGCAGUUAAUAUUGAAAAUAGGAGGACUCUCCUGAUUGAUCAUUCCAAUGAGUCAUUCUUAGGCUCAGAGGAUUUUCAUAACAAGGAACUUAAGAAGGAAGCCCGUAUAGUUUUGCAAGAAUUCGGCAGUGUGUUGCAACAGGGGAGGCCUGGUUUGAAUCCCCAUCUCGUGGAUUGGCCACAAGAUCAUACAUUUAUUACAGCCCCGCGGUAAUUUUUUAAAUUGGUCAUGCAUAUUAUAGCCACACAGCUAUAGGUUCUAAUAUAUGUAGACUUUUGGUCACAGCCUAGAUUCUAGAUUGAAAGUCCUACAGGAGAUGGCUCACCAAGAUGAUACUCGCGGGCAUAACAUGUCCAGGACUUCGGUACGUGCAUAUCUAACAAGUUUAUGUCUCCCAUAGCUAUGCUAAUUAUAAUUUUAUGUUCUUCCUAUCAUGUAUGUCCGUUGUGCAAUUAUUUUUUCAACGAGUUAUUAAAUUUUUGUUUAUGUUUUCUAGGAUUCAAUACAGCUCAGAAAGCACUUGCUGGUCCAGAUACUGAUGAUCAAAGGCAAUGAAGCAGCUGGAAACAUCCCAGCUGAAAUUACAGCGUCCUUGAGGUUUUUGGAUGAAUGACUCCGGACUGAUGCAUACUCAUAUGUCGCAAAUAUAAUAAGCUAAUAGAACUUUGGUAGGGAUCAAAUUGAGAUUUAUGUUUUUGGCAAUAUGAAUAAUGUAUUGGAUUACAGUGAAUAAAGGAUUUGAUGGAUCCCUCUAGCUUCCUUUUUGCUUCAACGUUGUCUGCUUGUUUUGGUUCUAUCUAUUAAUUUUGACUUCUAUGUAUAUUUUGUACUAUAACACUUGUGGCCACAGGAGCAGGUUUGUUGCUCCAGGUGAACCGGUGGCAUUUUGUAAUGGACCAUGGCAGGUUCAGCCGGCAUGCGAGGUUUACAGUCAUGCCUCACAUCAUAUACUAACUCGUAGCGUAUAACUCCAUCCAUACACACACUGCUAUACGAUACGAGGUUUACAUUGGCGGCCAUCCUCACAUGCAAUUUAUGGAAUAGCCAAUUUAAAAACAUGCUGGAUAUAAUGGACGUACCUUCAAUUGCCUUUGAUCUUCAAGUUCGCACAUGAUCCACAUAUCUCUGUCAUGCUCAUGAUGUCUCUGAUAACCAGCUGAUUAAAUUGUAUGUGCUCCUGAUUAGAGUAACCAACAUAAGCCCCUUCCAAAGUGCUUUCUUAUUGACUAUAUAAAGUACAAGACGGUGACAGCAUAUUUCGACAAACAGUAUACGUUACCAACAUUUUCAAAUUUGUGGUGGGGGGGGGGGGUUGGUGUUGGGUGGUAGAAUAAAACGUUUGUGUUGUAUGGAUGAACUUUCUCUAAACAUAAUAGCCAUAUAUACCUACCUAUCACGUUAAAUAACAAUAAAAUAAAGGAGGCACUAAUGACUGAAUAAGAGGACGAAAAAAUGUGCAUAUGCAUCUCAAUAGGUAUCAAGGUUGCCCCUGAUUGUAGAUUUGUAAUGGACUCAAGUUAUUAAAAUGUUGUGGAUCUUACUCUUACAUGAGAAGGCAUGGCUGCCCCUGAUUGUAGAUUCACCAAGGUUAGGUUGGUAAAUGAACACAUUUACACUAAAAACAGAAAUAUGUAAUACGAUACAUUAGUAUCAAGGAAUUCCCAUGUUACCAUCAGCACGACGAGUUCCAGAAAGAAGAAAAAAAUCUCAUACCAGUCUAACGGGAUGUAUUAUAAUAGCUUCAUGUUAAAUGUCUUGUAAAGUGAGUUCAUAUGCAGUCGAACGGGAUGUAUAAUAAAAGCUGCCAGAUCAAAACAUCAAAAGAUAACUACAAUGAGAUUAUAUACAGUCAACCAAACAAGUGACAUAAAAAGGCCAAAGCAUUAUUUUUCAGUGAGAAAAUAAGUGAACAAAAAAACAUUAUAAUUUCACUUUUACAACUUUAAUAUUUUAAUAGACAAAUCACAGAUUGUAUCUAUUGCAUUUUUUAUAUGUGAAAAUUGUAUACAUAGUAAAAACUAUUUUGUAACUUAAAGAAAUACUAAAGAAACAAAAUUGUUUUAAGCAUGUUUGGAUCUUUUACAUCUUCUCUGAUUUAUUAGCAGACGUACUCCGUUGCAAUCCUUCGGUGUAUAGAUUAAUAUGAGUUAAUAAAUUAAAUAUUUCAUUUGCCUGUGAUAGAAAAAUAAGAUUGUAUUAAAUCUAGAGAUAUGAUUACCCUAAUAAAGAUAUAAUGCUUGUACAUACAGACGACCACGGGGAGGAGGAAAAGGAAGUUUCUUUUAUUUCCUUUUCUGUUGUAUUCACAGACAAAGUGGGCUGAAAUAAUGUAACCGGGAAUAUAUUAUCUGAUACUGGGAGAAAGAUCAGAUCAGUCCACAAGUUAUAAUAUGUUAUACAUGGAAAUGAAUAACUGCUUUAAUUAAACGACGUUGAUCAUUUGGAAGGCAAUAUCAACUCUCCAAUUUAUUAGAUGUCACGGUAACAAAAUGAUAAACUCCAUCUGCCUACUAUUUAACCACCCACCCAAGUUCACAUAUAUCCCAUCAGCAAUGUCCGAUCGAGAACUAAGGAACUAAUUUUCUAUCCAAUGGAGACGAUCAUUGGGAACGCUACACACGCACCCGAAGAGGGUGCGUCUGUGGCCCAGGAGGAUGUUCCCGGUCCCCAGGAGGAUGUGCCUGCACCCAUGGAUGUUUUGCCCCCAUUAAUGCAUGCCGUGGAAGAUGCACUCCAAUACAUAUUUCACUAUAUCAUGGGCAUUCGAGACCAAGAUACAUUAAAGUAAGUUGUCUUAUUAUACAUUCUUUUACUAUAUACAAAUAAUGUUGGAAAACUCUUUUACACAGCAAGGAAAGAUAGCUAGAUGGGCAAUCUUAAAACAUUCAUAGGUACAUGUAUACGUUUUUUAGUUGAAUCCGACGCUACAUGAACAAUGACAUGCAAAGCCCAUGAAUUAAGGUUCUAGAUUUGAUACGUGUAGGUACAUCUAGGUGAGGACAAUCUGACCUCAUGCAGUGUCAUGCAAUCUAAACAUGAAUUCGGUUUAUAGGUUAGUAUAGACAAAGUUAAACUAGAAGAUGACCAUUGAUGUCUUUUGUUGGGCAUUUUUUCAGCUUAACAUGGACAAGAAGCUCCCGGCCGUACCAAAUCGACAUCAGCCUCCGAAUGAUCCAGGACACCCUUUUUUUCAUAAAAAACUUCACCCGAAUGCUUCAACCUUGUUGUACGUAAGCUUGCGAGCGCUGAAUUAGAGAGGACCGCAGGCACUAACUGGGUUGGGAGCAAACAUUAUUUCGACUUGCAGUUUCAUGCUCAGUCACAGGCCCUGAGGUACUCCUAGAUGACUCAAGGAGAGCGCAUCACGACGCUGAUUAACUAUGUUGUGGUCCAGCCUCUUCCUAAAUAUGAUGUGUUCAACUCUAUAAUUGUAAGAGACGCUCAUUCUUAAAGUUAGUUUUACUUAUUAUAAUAGCAGUUGACAUGUGUCGACCUGCCACGGUAUCUACUACCAUUGAAACUUUCGGAUUCGUCGUACGGGUUACUUGUAGUCAACCGGUUGAGGAGGAGGGUUGUCGUGAUGGAUCCAUCCUUCAACACGUUUGAUCCUGAAGAUAGCACUCAUAACAUAUUGAUGAGGAAGGAAAUCACACUGCUGAAGGAAGAAUUCAACACUGUGUUGCAGACUAGGAUCGCUGGUUGGAAUAACCAAAUCAUGGAUUGGGAACAAGAUACCAUGUCCUGUGCUGCUCGUCGGUAAUAUACUAAAUUGAUCGCAUACAUAAGAUGCAGACCGUUAUAAUGUUUAAUAUUUAUUUAUUUUGUCGCAGCAAACACUCUGGCUUCUUUGUGCUACAGGAGAUGGCUCACCAGAUUGGUCGUUUGCGUAGCAUGGGCUGGAUGAACACUACCGUAAAUACAUAAAUGAUUAGUUGAUGUGUGCUAAUUAAUAUCCAACCAGUUUAUUAAAUGAUUUGAGUUUUUGCACCUUUCCUAGGAUCCUAUACAGCUCAGACACCAAGCUACGGUCCACAUGUUACUGUUCAAAGACAAUGAAGCUGCUGCAAACAUCCCGCCAGAGAUUAGAGCGGCCCUGAGGGUUUUAAGCAACUGAAGAUGGACUGAUGCAUGCAGAUAUGCCAAGAAUGUUUUCCUAUACUUCAGAUUUGUUAUGGAUCGUUUUGAUAAUUUUUUUUGAUAUGAAUAAUUAGAUAAUAAGUUUGUGGGGUCCUCUAUAGACGUAUGUUCAAAAAGAUUAGGAUGUUUUGGUAUUAUCAACCUAUUCAAACUUUAUGGUGUUUUGGUAUUAUUGAAGUUUGGUUUUAUUACCAUAUUGUUGGAUUAUUAAUUGAUUUUGUUGCAAUGUCAUGAACGAAUCAUUCGGUUGUCUGCCAUGAAUGAGCAUGUAGCUCCAUUUGGGAAGCUGGACAGGGGUAAUAGGGCUUGACGCUAGAUGAGAUGAGCAGCCAGAGUUUAAUGUUUUUCACAUACUAGGCAAAUGCAUGUGUGUGCACAGGAUAUUUACAUCCUUCGGCGGCAGCAUUGUGCCUUCAACUAUUUCUGCACCUACUGUCAUUUUCCUCGAAGAUGUACAAAGCGGGUGUCAUAUUCCCCCGCCGUUAGAAGAUCAAUUCACGAAAAAUUCUUCCGAGGAUCACUCCCAUUGCCGAUCUUCCCGAUUAGAUCCUCGUGCCCCUCUCCCGAUCGCUGCUCUUUCCCUAAAACCCCCCACUGGUUUCCAGCGCCUCCAACCACAACUAACUCUCGCCCCCACCGCUCAGGUCGCUUACGGCAAACCGAAGAAGGAUGUGGAGGCGGACGUGGGUUAGAUAUGGAUCAUUAUUGUCUUGGACGUCGACGAGCGGUCAUUGAUGGGGCGGGGGUGGCGCAUCAGGAGUUAUCCUUCUUCCUCCAUUAUCAUAUUCCACUCGCUUGCCGGUACCAUGCGCCUCUCCCUCGCCCUUUGUUUUGACCUCUGCCACGCUAGGAAUUUGAGAUGUGCAGGAAUACUAUAAGGAAGAAGAGAACGAGCAAGAAGCCGAGGUAUUGGGUAGAGCAUCCGGGUCGAGUGUAGGUCUUAGCCACGCUUCAUGGUGCAGGUGAAGAUAAAUUCAGCCAUUUCCUCGGACAGGCUUUGCUCUGUCGGCGACGCGGUCAGAGAGCAUAUGGCAGGAGCGCGCGGCCGGCCUGCUGUAUGCAGUUGGUGCCUUGGUGUGCAGUGGCACGACUGCGCGCGAGCAUGGUGAUGGGUUUCGUGUAAGGGCGUGAAGCAUGCGUUUUGUCGUGCUGCCGGUUGUGCUCUGCUCUGCUCACGGAGGAUGCAGAGGGGUUGGUGGCUUUGGCGCUGGGAAGAGGAAGCUCGUUGUGAUCUAUCUUGUGGUUCAGAGAAUAUACUGUGUAGCCUGUACUAUUCCUCUAUGUCUUCCUUCCUGCUAAUUCCUCUGUCUAUUACAGUUAUUUCCUGAUUAUUUGUGUGCACAGAUCGAAAUAACAAUAGCAAGGAAAACUUGGAAUAUGUGGGACCAUGACUAAACUCGAUCUGUUUAUCUCCCUCUCAAGUUACAGUUUGGUUUGUACUUUUUUGGGGGAGCUAAUGUCGAUUUGUAGUGAUUAAUCAUCCAUUUGAUUGAAAGUUCAGGUGGUCUUGGGGAUCUCUAGGUGGCAGAAGAUAGACAUUUGGUGCCUUUUUGUUGCAAAUAUUUCUAGGUUGCUAGGUAGGCCAAGAUUUCUCAACUUGCUGCAAUAUUCAGUUGUUGUAUGUGGUCCUAGGCUCACACGAAAUGCUGAAUCAUAGCAGUGAAUGUAAGUUUUAUUCCAUGUAUAGUACGUAGCAGAUUUAUAGCUUAAUAUACUUGUAUAAAUCCUACAACUCCCACAUUAACACACGAGCAGCCCUAAAUAGUAAAGUCCAUCCACGAUAUGUCAAAAGAUCCAUAAAGUCAUGAAUUAUAUUUGGCAAAAAAAACUAUAGGUAAAUAUAACGUCAAUUCGUACUGAUCAACAUCAACGCUAAAAUAAAAAGUUGAUUCCAUAAAUCCACAAUUAGUAUUGGUUACCUUUGGCAUUGGGAAACCAUGGAUAAUCUGGAAUUGACAGCAUUCAUCGAACUUGUGUGGUCUCUCAGAUAUUACAACUGCAACAAGUAUAAUGAGACUGUACAUUACUACCAAAUUAUUGAAUGAAGUAUUAGUACAAACUGUUAAAUCAUACAAAAAUAGCUAAGCAUGAAGAUGAUUAGUGUGCAUGCUGUGAUUUUUGUUUGCUGUAGCUAAAUUUGGCAUGCAAGCAAUGAAAAUCUUUUUAUUUAAUUAAUACAAUAAUUUAAUUCUUUAGACAGUUAUGAUUAUUUAGUUAUUUGCUUAUUUAUUAACAGGUGUGCAUUUGAUGGAAAAAGAAAAGAGAUCUGCACCAUCAAAAAUGGUAUAUAUGGUAGAAAACAUUGUUAUAUAUGGUAGAACUAUAUUCAGCCAUGAUCUGCUACCCAGUUAUUCUCCGAAUGUCCUACCUAUAUAUGUUAACCUUCUCUGCCAUCCCUCCUCCCCCUCCUUGCUCUUCCUUCGGCCAUCACAAUAGCUGACCUGGACGAAAAUUUCCCAAGGAGUACCUUGUGUAAGCAAGGAGCAUCUUUAAGGCGAGUUCCUCUAGGUACGAACAAUUCUGGAUCUUUAUAUUCUCUAAAAGUGUAAUAGUUGUUAUACUAGGAUCAUGUUUCGUUGAGAUAUACUAUCAAAAGUAUGAUUUAUCUUUCAUUUUCUGUAUGUUCACCUACAAAAGUAUGCAUGCAAUUCUGAACACGUGAUUUUCUUAAGCACAUUAUAUAGCAAAAAAAGCAUGCAUGCAAUUCUUAACAUGGCAGAGAACAAACAAAUAAACAAACACUUAUGAAAAUCUUAAUAUUAUGACAGUCAUAAUAAUAAGUCCUUUCAUGUAAUAAAAUCCCUGUGCGUUGCACCGGUGUACAAAAUGUAAAUCUAUGCUUACACACUUGAAAAAAACUACAAACAAACAACAUUGCAAUCAGUCAAACAGCCAUAUCAGAACAAAUAAUUCAAACAAUUUUGGUUAAAAAUAUUUGUCAAACAUCUAAUACCUUAUAAGUUUGCAAAUCCCGUACCAUUCAUAGGAAACAUACACAUGGAUAUGCUCUUACUUGAUUUUCCACAUCGCAAGUUGAAAUAAUUUUUGUUGUAUCAAAAGUAUUGUGAUAAGAUUUAGGAUCAAAAUUGAUGAAUGAUUUCGGAUUAUGUAGUCAACAAGACAAUACAAAUAUUAGGCAUUGUUGCAUGCCUAAGGCUCAAACCCAAAAAUAGCCAUGCACCCAUAGUGAACAAUAACCAGACAAAUCAUGAGCAAAUUCAUUCAAAAAGAUUGGCUGCAUGUUCUCCAUUUAUAAUUCACAACCAAGAGUCAAGUCAUGGUCGUAGGUAAGUUUCAUAGCAGAGUAUAUAUUGAGCCUUGGCUGGAAAAAUAGUUGGAAACUAAAAAAAAA